Long non-coding RNA from Myotis daubentonii (Daubenton's bat), 1104 nucleotides. RefSeq lists it as uncharacterized. The record is from RefSeq and is a predicted model, not a curated record. NCBI's taxonomy places the organism in Eukaryota, Metazoa, Chordata, Mammalia, Chiroptera, Vespertilionidae.
UUGUUCCCCCGAUGGCUGUGGGUUGAAAGAUUCCAAUGUCUCACUGCCAAGACUGCUGCCUGUCUUUUGGCUUCCUUGAUGAUGUGUCUCCCUUUUCCCAGAGAGAUAAGUACAGCAAAAAGCUGCCAUUCUUGAGUCCCGAUGGUACAAGGACACAUUGUUAGGCCUACGUCUCCCAAGAAGAUCUCAUCUCCCCACUGAAGCACCUGGCUCGGCCUCCUGCAGUGCCACGCUCCGUGUAUUUGACAAGCUGAGUUGGACACUCCAUGUGGUAGAGUGUCAGUUUGUCAAAUACCCCAAGUGCGGCAUGUGCCUAGCAGCUCCAAGCCAGGGCAGUUGGGGUACAACAAAUAGAUGAUCAGCAGGAUAAAAUAACACACAACAAAUACCAACUAAGCUCUCACAGGUUAUUUUAAGGUAACUUUGAGAGAAUGUAAGCAUUGUAUCUGAGGUUCCCAGUGGAAAAGUCAGACAGCUUUGAGAGCCACAGCCCUGAGUGGUGCCUACAUAUAUUGUGCGAGCCUGAGGGGGGCAAGGUAGCCUUGUAAAGGUAUCCAGGGCCCAGGGAUGAAAAUGCUACUUAAUUCAUUAUUUUUUUUCUUCACAUUCCCCAUUCCAGAGUAUCCCAGCAAGGAUACCAGAAGUCUCACACAACCAUCAUGGCAGGGCUUAGAAGCCCAUUUUUCUGACACUCAGUCUUAGCUCUAAACGCACUUUGACCUUACCUAUCUCUCUCCUUUUCCUCAUGCUUUUCCUCCUUCUGAGAACACCAUCCCCAUUUAUUUAUGCCUCUCCAAUUUCUUCCCAUAUUUCCUUGUCCAGGCAAAAUCAAGUUUCUGCAGGGACUUUUGAAAAAUAAACCUAUACUUUUUUCCUUCAUUCUCAAAUCACUUCUUGCCUGGGUCCUUCUAUGUACACCUUUAUCUCCUACUGCCCAAUAACACGGCUUAAAUUGUUAAUUAUCUUUUUUCAGAAUAUAUUUUGAAUCCUCUACUUUGUUUAUGACAAGACCAUGUUUCCUUGAUUGCUGUCUCUCCAUUCCAUUCCUACCCCACAGGACUCUGGUUACAGAAAAUAUUCAAUAAAGUUUUACUGAUUGAUUGA